RNAcentral lists this ribosomal RNA (505 nucleotides) under uncultured bacterium. RNAcentral describes it as "partial 16S ribosomal RNA". It matches the Rfam family "Bacterial small subunit ribosomal RNA", at positions 28 to 507 of the family's 1533-position model. The record is from RNAcentral.
GACGAACGCUGGCGGCGUGCCUAAUACAUGCAAGUAGAACGCACAGUUUAUACCGUAGCUUGCUACACCAUAGACUGUGAGUUGCGAACGGGUGAGUAACGCGUAGGUAACCUGCCUGGUAGCGGGGGAUAACUAUUGGAAACGAUAGCUAAUACCGCAUAAUAUUAAUUAUUGCAUGAUAAUUAAUUGAAAGGUGCAAUUGCACCACUACCAGAUGGACCUGCGUUGUAUUAGCUAGUAGGUGAGGUAACGGCUCACCUAGGCGACGAUACAUAGCCGACCUGAGAGGGUGGUCGGGCACCCUGGGACUGAGACACGGCCCAGACUCCUACGGGAGGCAGCAGGAGGGAAUCUUCGGCAAUAGACGAAAGUCUGACCGAGCAACGCCGCGUGAGUGAAGAAGGGUUUCGGAUCGUAAAGCUCUGUUGUAAGAGAAGAACGGGUGUGAGAGUGGAAAGUUCACACUGUGACGGUAUCUUACCAGAAAGGGACGGCUAACUACGUG